Long non-coding RNA from Drosophila miranda, 653 nucleotides. RefSeq lists it as uncharacterized. NCBI's taxonomy places the organism in Eukaryota, Metazoa, Arthropoda, Insecta, Diptera, Drosophilidae. The transcript is spliced from 3 exons. The record is from RefSeq and is a predicted model, not a curated record.
CUUGUAACAAAAUUUGUUACUUGUUCCGCUACGGCACUUAUUAAAGAUGUAGGUUUCAAAGACAAUUCUAAUUUAUAUGUACAUAAAUGGAUGUUGAUUUCUGAUCAACAUAAAUGGACUGCUCGACCUUCAUAGCCAAUGGUUACAAAAUCGGAUGACUAUAUAAUACCUACUUUACUGCUUCGACUGCGAAGAGCUGCAGCGGUGAGCUCUUUCGCUUGUCACCAUUGCGAAAACCACACAACGAGCUUUAGUUUGAAAGCUUGAGAAGUAAAAGUUACGCGAUACCCUACAUUAGUCAGGUAUCUUGGUUUGAGACUUAGUUAGUUAGUUCCUUUGGAAUUUUGGAAUUGCGCUGCAACCGAUUCCUCACUAAAAUGUAUAUCAAAUAAGAUUUUAUGAAUUCCAGUCAUUUCGACUGAGUCGGAGAGGAUGUUCAGCAAGGUUGGCUUAAUAGUAAGCGAGAGAAGAGCAUCACUAAAACCUAAAAAUGUGGAGAUGCUGACGUUCCUAAAUAGGAACAUAUGGAUCGCCAAAUAAAUGAGCCAAAUUUAAACGUGAACUUGGGAUCUCCAAAAAACCUUAUUUUUAAGUUACUUAUGAAGUGUACUUUACUUGAAGUAAUAUAUUUUUUUUGUAUAUAAGUUUUAUAU